This 85-nucleotide transfer RNA is filed under the name Candidatus Komeilibacteria bacterium. RNAcentral's name for it is "tRNA-Leu". It matches the Rfam family "tRNA". From Rfam's summary of the family: Transfer RNA (tRNA) molecules are approximately 80 nucleotides in length. Lineage: Bacteria; Candidatus Komeiliibacteriota. The record is from RNAcentral.
GCCCGGAUGGCGGAAUUGGUAUACGCACAAGACUUAAAAUCUUGCGCCGCAAGGCUUGUGGGUUCGAGUCCCACUCCGGGCACCA